This 231-nucleotide ribosomal RNA is filed under the name uncultured bacterium. RNAcentral describes it as "partial 16S ribosomal RNA". It matches the Rfam family "Bacterial small subunit ribosomal RNA", at positions 99 to 334 of the family's 1533-position model. The record is from RNAcentral.
CGGACGGGUGAGUAAUGUCUGGGAAACUGCCUGAUGGAGGGGGAUAACUACUGGAAACGGUAGCUAAUACCGCAUAACGUCGCAAGACCAAAGAGGGGACCUUCGGGCCUCUUGCCAUCGGAUGUGCCCAGAUGGGAUUAGCUAGUAGGUGGGGUAACGGCUCACCUAGGCGACGAUCCCUAGCUGGUCUGAGAGGAUGACCAGCCACACUGGAACUGAGACACGGUCCGG